UUCGUAGGGUGCGAGCGUUAAUCGGAAUUACUGGGCGUAAAGCGUGCGCAGGCGGUUAUGUAAGACAGAGGUGAAAACCCCGGGCUCAACCUGGGAACUGCCUUUGUGACUGCAUGACUAGAGUACGGCAGAGGGGGAUGGAAUUCCGCGUGUAGCAGUGAAAUGCGUAGAUAUGCGGAGGAACACCGAUGGCGAAGGCAAUCCCCUGGGCCGGUACUGACGCUCAUGCACGAAAGCGUGGGGAGCAAACAGG
This 253-nucleotide ribosomal RNA is filed under the name uncultured bacterium. RNAcentral's name for it is "partial 16S ribosomal RNA". It matches the Rfam family "Bacterial small subunit ribosomal RNA", at positions 524 to 776 of the family's 1533-position model. The record is from RNAcentral.